This 507-nucleotide ribosomal RNA is filed under the name uncultured bacterium. RNAcentral describes it as "bacterial SSU rRNA". It matches the Rfam family "Bacterial small subunit ribosomal RNA", at positions 30 to 518 of the family's 1533-position model. The record is from RNAcentral.
AUUGAACGCUGGCGCGUGCUUAACACAUGCAAGUCGAACGCGAAAGGGACUUCGGUCCUGAGUAAAGUGGCGCACGGGUGAGUAACGCGUGGAUAAUCUGCCCUUAUGAUCGGGAUAACAGUUGGAAACGGCUGCUAAUACCGGAUACGCUCAAAAUGAACUUUUUGAGGAAAGAUGGCCUCUGCUUGCAUGCUAUCACGUAAGGAUGAGUCCGCGUCCCAUUAGCUUGUUGGCGGGGUAACGGCCCACCAAGGCAACGAUGGGUAGCCGAUUUGAGAGGAUGAUCGGCCACACUGGAACUGAAGCACGGUCCAGACUCCUACGGGAGGCAGCAGUGGGGAAUAUUGCGCAAUGGGCGAAAGCCUGACGCAGCGACGCCGCGUGAGGGAUUGAAGGUUUUCGGAUCGUAAACCUCUGUCAGAAGGGAAGAAACUACGUUGUGCUAAUCAGCAGCGUACUGACGGUACCUUCAAAGGAAGCACCGGCUAACUCCGUGCCAGCAGCCGC